Molecule: ribosomal RNA, 118 nt
Filed under: Pteropus alecto (black flying fox)
Lineage: Eukaryota; Metazoa; Chordata; Mammalia; Chiroptera; Pteropodidae
Also listed under: 1 other name
Source: RNAcentral
UCUAAGGCCAUGCCACCCUGACUGUGCCCUAUCUUGUCUGAUCUGGGAAGCUGAGUAGGGUUGGGCCUGGUUAGUACUUGGAUGGGAGACCACCUAGAAAUACCGGGUGCUGUUAAAA